AGAGUUUGAUCAUGGCUCAGAAUGAACGUUGGCGGCGUGGAUUAGGCAUGCAAGUCGAACGAAUCCCCGCAAGGGGGGAAGUGGCGAAAGGGGCAGUAAGGCGUGGACAACCUGCCCCGGGCUCCAGGAUAGCCUUCCUAACGGAUGGGUAAUACUGGGUACGCUCCCGCGGUGGCAUCACCGAGGGAGGAGAGCUCCGGCGGCCCGGGAGGGGUUCACGUGAUAUUAGCUAGUUGGCGGGGUGACGGCCCACCAAGGGGGCGAUGCCUGGCGGGUGUGAGAGCACGACCCGCGCCACCGGCACUGAGACACUGGCCGGACGCCUACGGGUGGCUGCAGUCGAGGAUCUUCGGCAAUGGGCGCAAGCCCGACCGAGCGACGCCGCGUGGGCGACGAAGGCCUUCGGGUUGUAAAGCCCUGUCGAGGGGGAGGAAGGCCGUGAGGCUUGACCUAGCCCUGGAGGAAGCUCGGGCUAAGUUCGUGCCAGCCGCCGCGGUAAUUC
This 502-nucleotide ribosomal RNA is filed under the name uncultured bacterium. RNAcentral describes it as "bacterial SSU rRNA". It matches the Rfam family "Bacterial small subunit ribosomal RNA", at positions 8 to 526 of the family's 1533-position model. The record is from RNAcentral.